CUCGCCGGCGAGCCGCGCGGCGGGACAUAACACAAAUCGACACUCCACACCACCAGGGCGAGAGCUGCAGCCUACUACAGCCGGCGCAAGCCGGUCGUGCGAUGUCGCAACCUCAACCAAACUAAGCAAACAAAGGACUCUGACUAAGUCAUUUAUUAAAACCAGAUUCACAACGAUGGAUAUCUUGGUUCCCAUUACGAUGAAGAGCGCAGCGAAGUGCGAUAAGCAAUGCGAAUUGCAGAACCGUGAGUCAUCAGAUUUUUGAACGCAACUGGCGCUAGAUGGCUAUCCAUCUAGCAUGCUUGUUUCAGUGUCUUUUUAUUUCCUAACCGAAAUCAUAAUGCGAGAGAUACCCUUCUCUUGUUAAGCAUGAAAGCACUCUGCGCUCUGCGAGCGACUUCGAUUUAUCGAGGGUCGCACUCAAUGCAGCAGUCACAUUGUUUACAGUGUGAACUCAUUGAGAGUAGAGGCAGUGCGGUGUAACAACUGCCAGUGCUUAGACACUCAUAACUUUCUUUGUAUCUGAAAUCAAGCAGGAUCACCCGCUGAACUUAAGCAUAUCAAUAAGCGGGAGGGAAUAACAAGCCUAGAUUUUAGGAUA
RNAcentral lists this ribosomal RNA (601 nucleotides) under Oryza sativa (Asian cultivated rice). Its description in RNAcentral is "eukaryotic LSU rRNA". The stretch from base 165 to 316 matches the Rfam family "5.8S ribosomal RNA". The record is from RNAcentral. Lineage: Eukaryota; Viridiplantae; Streptophyta; Magnoliopsida; Poales; Poaceae.